This 391-nucleotide long non-coding RNA is filed under the name Setaria italica (foxtail millet). Its description in RNAcentral is "long non-coding RNA (SITA_LNC001128)". Lineage: Eukaryota; Viridiplantae; Streptophyta; Magnoliopsida; Poales; Poaceae. The record is from RNAcentral.
CGCGUCGUCGAGGACGUCGCGGAGCGGGAGGCGCGCUGAGCCGACGAGCGGCUUGACCCCCUCGGCGGCGUUGGCGUGGACGACGUCGAGGUAGAGGACGGCGUCGUCGAGGCGGGAGGAGGGCGGGAGCGGGACGAGGAGCUUCUCGUCCCAGGAGGGGCUCUCGCCGUUGUCGAGGUCGACGCGGGUGGAGCACUUGGCGCCGGAGUCGACCCAGACGACGGCGUACGGCUUGAGGUCGCCGUUGCGCCAGUUGACGUUCUUGAGGUCCCGGGCCGAACCGACGGUCACCUCCACCUCGUAGCGGGACCCCAUCGCCUCUCCGGCCGGCGGUGGCAGGAAGGGCAGACGGAGGGGAAGCUUGUGCCUUUUGCUUUGCUAGAUUAGCGAC